This is a non-coding RNA of Dermacentor andersoni, 3163 nucleotides long. The record is from RefSeq and is a predicted model, not a curated record. Lineage: Eukaryota; Metazoa; Arthropoda; Arachnida; Ixodida; Ixodidae.
AGUGUUUGUUGUUUACGCUACAAAUUAAGUUGUUCUUAAAAAUUUAUGAAGGUUAGUGGAUGAAAAAUUAUUGCAUAUAAUUAGUGGUUUUUCAGUGCCGUUAUUUUGUGUUUGAAAGGUUUUUAUAACUGAAUACGAUAGUGAAGCUGUGAACGGCUUUCGGACUCAGUUGCUUGGUUGCAGUUGUGGCGUGCGGUGGUGCGCGCCUCGUGCUUUUUGAUGAAGGUAUUUUUUUUUUCUUUUUGGACAUCGCGACGCACAUUUUAGUGAAAUGCUUUAACGACGAUAAGUGCGACGUUUAUGCGUUGAAGUCGUUGGCUCACCCAACUACUUCGACUGAUGUGCGAGCCUGCUUGUUUUGAUGAGUAGCGCGGCAGAGGUCAUGAUGCCUGUUGAAGAGAAGGCACCUCGAAACAGUGGCAGCCGAACUUCUGCAGAUAGGUUACGCAUGCAGCUAAUUCCCAGGUGCUAAAGUGUUCUACGUCAACAGCACCUUGACGUCGUGCAAGAGACACCCGUUGAUACGUGGCUGAUUCACUAGCAAGCUCGCAUCUCUGUUGCCACUCUCCAUCAAGUGGGAUUUUCAACUAUUUUUGUGCUGCUCUGUGGUGUACUAGCUGCCGCAUGGACGCUGUGAAGGAUUACUUUGGAUUUGCUCUGGGGUUUAGUAGUAAAGGAUGGGCUAACUUUUGAGGGGAGCCAUUUACUUCUGUUUGUGAGAAUGUUUACCAGCCUAACCAAGUGAUACUUGCGUACUGUAAACAGCAGCACGAACAGAGGCGGACGACGAAAUUUGUAGGAGCGCACACGAGCGCAAGGUCAACUGACAGUUUACUUUUGUUGACUGAGGUAUUAAAGACACUGGUCAACUUAAAGGUAAAAAGCCGUGCAUGCGUGGCAGAAACAGCCACGUGCGACAAGAAAAAAUAUUAAAAAGCCAUGUCAUGUAGAAUAAACGUGCGUGAAAUACGAGAACUAUCGGACAAAUCUGUCGGAUUUUCGAAAGAUUUGUCCAAUAAGUGAUACUACCCAACGAGAAAUACUCUUCUGAGAACUGCAACUUUUUCCCACUAAGGGCAACAGAUAACCUGGUUAUGCAUUGUUUCGUUUGUGAUAAAUAAAUAUUGCAUCUGGAACUCCUCUGGUGUUGCGGUAUAGAGCAGAAAGAACGAUUGUUUCAUCACAAAGACCAGAACACAAGAGGACUUAUGAAAGCAUUAUUUAUUGAUCACGAAUAAAAAUUCAUAAGCAAGAUUUCUGUGACCCUUAGUGGGAAAGAGUUGCUGCAGUACUUCUUGUUAAUAUCACUUACAGGACAAACCUAUCAGUUUUCAUGUUUUUCGUAGUUUUUGACGCACAUGUUUAUUCUACAGAACAUCUUUCGGUUCUUUUUGUUGUGCCGGGCUGUUUCUGCUGCGCAUCCAUGGCUUUUUCUUUGUAAAGUUGGCCAGUGUGUUUAAAAUUAAUACAUGAAGUUAUUUGCGCUGUUUAUUUCAGGAAGAACGCUAUAGGGUCUUAUCUUCUCCUUGUUUUUAACGGUGAUGUACAUUUUUCUAGUUCAACUUCAAGGCGUCCCCUGAGGAUAGCAAUAAGAGUGAUCGUAACUUCCUUUGUGUGUAAGAUUUAGGAAUUUCAUCCAUCCAAGGCAUGACAUGUCACAUGCCUGUUUGUAGGUAUGCAAGCAUUCGUAGUUUGUAAGCAUACUUCGCUUUACUUUUCGAUUCUCAUCACGCUGCUUUGUACUUUGCUGCAUUCUCCAGGCGCAGGAACCUUUUUUAUGCGGUAAGUGCAUGUGUUCUUUUUGUAUAUAUUGGAGAAAAAAUUGUCGUGAUCUUAACUAUGGGUCUAAAUCACUUGUAAUUUUUUUUUCAACACGGGUGCUGUAUCUCUCUCCGUCUUUGUUACGGCUUUGUCCCAAUUUUUAUGCAACUUUUAUGUAUAUUUUGCAAUAAAAUUUUGGUAGGAUUUUAAUAGCAUUUCACCUGCGCAAUUGAGGUCAUUGGUGUUUCGUAUACGCAUUUAUUUGCGUGUUUCACUGUCUCACCAAUCUGGCUGUCCAGUCAUUGGAACCUUUUCUCAUUCUUUAUGACUAUUUCUGGGGUACUUGAUACUGCAAGUGCAGGUGACGAUUUAUUUGGCUGUUUAGAACUGUUAGCCGUGUGUUGCUACCAAUUUUCUGUGCUAAAUAACUAUUUUUUCUCUUAUCGUUCAAGGUAUUAGCCUUGCCUUAUCUCUUUAUUGACUGAGGUAGCACUUUGUUGCUGGGUAUAGGGAAAAAGGCCCCAAAAGUGCUCUAAUUAGCUUUGUGCGAGUUCAGAAAAAUUAUUUAAAAAUGAGCUCACUAAAUUGAGGAAAUUCCGCCAACAAACUCUCCUGUGCCCCAAAUUAACAUAAUCAAAUGGUGAACUUUUUGUUGCUUUGUGCCAGGGAGAUAAGCUGCAUUCAUUACACAAUAGUUUUAGAAGUUUACUUCUGAAGAAAGCAAAGCUCGCUCGUGAAAAAUAUAUGAUUCUGGUGUUCACCAUGCCCGACAACUUUCUAAAUGAUGUUUCGUCAAUUAAUAGCUAAGUUGAGUGAUGUUAUUUUAUAAAAUAAUUGCCAAACAUGAAAAUAUAUACAUCUCGAAGACAGAAAGCUCGGGCAAGUCUACUUUUGUACUUCAUUAAAUUCUAAUCGCGGGGAAAGACGUGUGCUAAAGCUUGUAUAUAUUUACGUGAAGUCAUUUGUUUCAAGUCUGUUAUUUUGCCUUCUCACAGUGAGCCGUAGCUCUUCUUGUGAUGUCUUAGUGUGCGAAACGUUUUAAUGUAACAUAUUCAGAUGUCGUUUCUGUAUUCACACACAAGCAGCUUCAAGUGUUCAUGUGUUCAAAGUUGCUUGUUACAAGGGUAUGCUUAACCGUGCCUUUUGAGUCGCUUUGCCUUCUAGUCAUAAACUUAAGUCCAAAGUGAAGACCACAAUGAUCGUUCUGAUUGAAUUCAUAUGUAUAGGUUUUUUCAGAUGUAUUUACACUGCUAGAGUGCUGUAGGUACUAGCCUAUGUCUCCAGGUUCGAUGCAGUGGUGCCUUAUGUACUGUAAUAAUGUUUCACGUUCACGCAUCUUUAGUGUAGACUUCGACUUUCACGCAUGUUUAGUGUAAAUAAAGGAGGUACUUCAAAUUGAUCA